This 66-nucleotide transfer RNA is filed under the name Adoretus sp. ADO01. RNAcentral's name for it is "tRNA-Ser". Lineage: Eukaryota; Metazoa; Arthropoda; Insecta; Coleoptera; Scarabaeidae. The record is from RNAcentral.
GAAAUAUAGAAAAAAGAAUAAGCUUCUAACUUAAUUCAAUAGCAGUGAAACUCUGUUAAUAUUUCU